This is a small nuclear RNA of Phyllostomus discolor (pale spear-nosed bat), 107 nucleotides long. Lineage: Eukaryota; Metazoa; Chordata; Mammalia; Chiroptera; Phyllostomidae. The record is from RefSeq and is a predicted model, not a curated record.
GUGCUCACUCUGGCAACACAUAUAUUAAAAUUGGAAAAAUACAGAUAAGAUUAGCAUGGCCCCUAUGCAAAAAUGACACACAAAUUCAUGAAGCAUUCCAUAUUUUU